RNAcentral lists this unclassified non-coding RNA (429 nucleotides) under Hevea brasiliensis (rubber tree). The record is from RNAcentral. Lineage: Eukaryota; Viridiplantae; Streptophyta; Magnoliopsida; Malpighiales; Euphorbiaceae.
UACAAGCCCUCUUGACUGGUGCCUCAGCAAGACAAGGCAAGGAAUCAGAAGAUGGUUCGGACAGUAGUAACACAUAUGGCAAUUUUGAUGGCAGAACAGAAGAUAAAAUUGGUCCAAAAACAAGGGUAGUUCCUUGUUAUACUAAAUUGGAAUUCCCUUUGUUUGACAGAAUGAACGACCCUUUAACUUGGUGCACUGAUGUGAACAAUUUUUUCUAAACCAACGAACACCAAAAGGUGAACCUCGCAGCAUUCCAUAUGAUGGGAGAGGCACAACUCUGGUUUUACAGAUUAGAACAAGAAGAACUUCGACUAUUGUGGAACGCGUUCAAAAAAUAUUGCAAUUUAAUAUUUGGGCCUCCACUCAGUUGCAAUCCUUUGGGUGAAUUGGCUAAUCUAAAGCAGAAGGGAUGGUGGAAGAAUACCAACG